Molecule: ribosomal RNA, 253 nt
Filed under: uncultured bacterium
Lineage: Bacteria
Description: partial 16S ribosomal RNA
Rfam family: Bacterial small subunit ribosomal RNA
Source: RNAcentral
UACGUAGGGUGCAAGCGUUAAUCGGAAUUCCUGGGCGUAAAGCGUGCGCAGGCGGUUGUGCAAGACCGAUGUGAAAUCCCCGGGCUUAACCUGGGAAUGGCAUUGGUGACUGCACGGCUAGAGUGUGUCAGAGGGGGGUAGAAUUCCACGUGUAGCAGCGAAAUGCGUAGAGAUGUGGAGGAAUACCGAUGGCGAAGGCAGCCCCCUGGGAUAACACUGACGCUCAUGCACGAAAGCGUGGGGAGCAAACAGG